Long non-coding RNA from Leucoraja erinaceus (little skate), 450 nucleotides. RefSeq lists it as uncharacterized. The transcript is spliced from 3 exons. Lineage: Eukaryota; Metazoa; Chordata; Chondrichthyes; Rajiformes; Rajidae. The record is from RefSeq and is a predicted model, not a curated record.
CAGUGUGAAUCAUUUUAUUGCUUCAGUAAUGGGUUCAGAUUUUAUUUACUGACGUUGUUAAUUUUUUUGUUCCUGUGUAAUGAUGCACCAUUUAUAUUAUUUCUCUUCUCCAGAAUGUGAAGGACGUCUUGAGGAGUUUGGAAGACAAUAGGAAAUGGGAUGAUGGAAAUUUAGAAAACACUGAGAUUGCCUUUAGCAUACACCAAUCCACAGGCAGAUUAAGUGUUCAAGAAGGAACUGCAGAUGCUGGAAGAUCAAAGAUGCUGCCUGACUCGCUGAGUUCCUUCGUCACUUUCAACAGUCCACAGGGGCAAUGUGGAAUGAUGAUUUUGCAGUCGCUUGUUAGCACUACACAGAACACAAGCAUACCUGUGGAUGUCUGAAGGAAGGGUUGGCUGGCAGUGGUCUGCUUGGUCCUCCAGAAUUGGACCCCACGCUGUGGUUCAGUGG